GAAGCAGCUAGGGUUAGCGUUGGCUUCUCUCUCUCUCUCUCUGUCUCUCUGUCUUUCUGUCUCUUUGUCUGUCUGUCUCUCUUUGUCUCUGUUUCUCUGUCUCUCUCUGUCUGUCUCUGUCUCUUUCUGUCUCUGUCUCUCUCUGUCUCCCUGUCUCUCUCUCUCUCAUUUAUUUCUAGAGUAUUUACAAAUUGAUUUUCCUGGUCUAAACCAUGAGGGGCUGGCAUGAUAAAAUGAAGCUGUUUGCUGUUCCGUGUCGAUCUGCCUGAGAUGAUGCUCUCCUGAAUGGCACCUGAGCCUGCUGGGACCCACCUCACAGGACCGUGUGCGGCUGCAAAGCUGAGCUGUUGUCUUGCCUGUGGCCUCCGAAACGCAGCCCUGGGCCCUGUGAUCACUGCAUUUCCUCUGUGCGGCUUUGAGGGACAGAGUGUGCUGACCAACAGAAGAAAGGCAAACAGCAGAAACUGGCACCGUGGCGGCCGCUGGACAUGGCCUCAGUCGGCUGCAGAGAGAAUUUAUUUCCACAGCAACCCUCAGCAGGCGCAGACCUCGGCCCGACCCAUUUUUAGAAAGGAACAUAAGCAGGUCCUGUCUUCCCAGAACAGACUCUCAAAGGACAAAAUGUGGAAAGUAGGAAAGAAAAGCUGCCGUCAAAGUCUGCAGUGCAUACACCAGGCGCUCCAGCAUGCAAGAGCUUCUGUAUCGCUGACCACGGCUGCAGAGACUGCAUGGAA
Molecule: long non-coding RNA, 734 nt
Filed under: Rhinopithecus bieti (black snub-nosed monkey)
Lineage: Eukaryota; Metazoa; Chordata; Mammalia; Primates; Cercopithecidae
Description: lncRNA (ENSRBIG00000045409.1)
Source: RNAcentral